AUUUCUCACGAUCCCUUCGGGGUGACGAGUUAUUGACUGAGUGGCGGACGGGUGAGUAACGCGUGGGUAACCUACCUUGUACAGGGGGACAACAGUUGGAAACGACUGCUAAUACCGCAUAAGCGCACAGCAUCGCAUGAUGCAGUGUGAAAAGUUUUUUCGGUACAAGAUGGACCCGCGUCUGAUUAGCUAGUUGGUGAGGUAACGGCCCACCAAGGCGACGAUCAGUAGCCGACCUGAGAGGGUGACCGGCCACAUUGGGACUGAGACACGGCCCAAACUCCUACGGGAGGCAGCAGUGGGGAAUAUUGCACAAUGGGCGCAAGCCUGAUGCAGCGACGCCGCGUGAGCGAAGAAGUAUUUCGGUAUGUAAAGCUCUAUCAGCAGGGAAGAUAAUGACGGUACCUGACUAAGAAGCACCGGCUAAAUACGUGCCAGCAGCCGCGGUAAUACGUAUGGUGCAAGCGUUAUCCGGAUUUACUGGGUGUAAAGGGAGCGUAGGCGGUUUUACAAGUCUGAUGUGAAAGCCCGGGGCUCAACUCCGGUAUUGCAUUGGAAACUGUAGAACUAGAGUGUCGGAGGGGUAAGUGGAAUUCCUAGU
This 601-nucleotide ribosomal RNA is filed under the name uncultured bacterium. Its description in RNAcentral is "bacterial SSU rRNA". It matches the Rfam family "Bacterial small subunit ribosomal RNA", at positions 59 to 674 of the family's 1533-position model. The record is from RNAcentral.